UACGUAGGGGGCAAGCGUUGUCCGGAUUUAUUGGGCGUAAAGAGUGUGUAGGCGGCCUGGAAGGUCAGCUGUGAAAACUCGAGGCUCAACCUCGAGACGUCGGUUGAAACCACCUGGCUAGAGUCCGGAAGAGGAGAGUGGAAUUCCCGGUGUAGCGGUGAAAUGCGCAGAUAUCGGGAAGAACACCCGUGGCGAAGGCGGCUCUCUGGGACGGUACUGACGCCGAGACGCGAAAGCGUGGGGAGCGAACAGG
RNAcentral lists this ribosomal RNA (253 nucleotides) under uncultured bacterium. RNAcentral's name for it is "partial 16S ribosomal RNA". It matches the Rfam family "Bacterial small subunit ribosomal RNA", at positions 524 to 776 of the family's 1533-position model. The record is from RNAcentral.